Molecule: long non-coding RNA, 414 nt
Filed under: Oryza sativa Indica Group (long-grained rice)
Lineage: Eukaryota; Viridiplantae; Streptophyta; Magnoliopsida; Poales; Poaceae
Description: lncRNA OsMH63_08G016060
Source: RNAcentral
GCUCUUCUUGGAGCACGGCAAGCUCAACCGCCUCGCCGAGCUCAGCGGCGGCGCCUCCUUCGGCGCGCCCAGCCUAGCAUUCGACCUCCCCGGCGCCGCUGCCCUUCAAGCGCGAGGUACUCGCCCAGCACCACGAGCUCCGCCGCCUCCGCGAGGACUUCGCCCACCUCCAGGUACGGUUUCAUCACGGCCAUCUCCGCCGCCGCCGUCCAGUGCAGCACGCUGCAGGCUCAGGUGGACAGGCUGAGCACGGAGAGGAGGUGGCGCGGUGGUGGUGGCGGGUUCUUCAAGUGGAGCACGUUCUGGUUCGGCGGCAUGAGCUCCGACGUCGCGAGGGUGGAGGACUCCGAGAGCGGCAUUGAGCGGCGGACGCCGGCGAGCGGGAAGAAGGGCAGGGGCGGCGCACUUGACUAG